This 96-nucleotide non-coding RNA is filed under the name Halomonas sp. Its description in RNAcentral is "TPP sequence". It matches the Rfam family "TPP riboswitch aptamer (THI element)". From Rfam's summary of the family: Vitamin B(1) in its active form thiamin pyrophosphate (TPP) is an essential coenzyme that is synthesised by coupling of pyrimidine and thiazole moieties in bacteria. The previously detected thiamin-regulatory element, thi box was extended, resulting in a new, highly conserved RNA secondary structure, the THI element, which is widely distributed in eubacteria and also occurs in some archaea. Lineage: Bacteria; Pseudomonadati; Pseudomonadota; Gammaproteobacteria; Oceanospirillales; Halomonadaceae. The record is from RNAcentral.
GCCAGACGACAGGGGCGCUUGAGACGCUCAAGCUGAGAUGCACCCUUAGAACCUGAACCGGAUAAUACCGGCGUAGGAAGUCGCGGUGUCAUCACA